Molecule: long non-coding RNA, 2115 nt
Organism: Mustela putorius furo (domestic ferret)
Lineage: Eukaryota; Metazoa; Chordata; Mammalia; Carnivora; Mustelidae
Source: Ensembl
UGAACAAAGGAAGCUACAUUUUAGUUUGGAAAAUACAGACAUCGCCCCUCUGAGCAGAAAGGCAUGGAGAGGAGAAAUUGUGUGCCAGUUCUCUGCAGUGUCCAGCCGGGGUCAGGGACAAAAGAGACAAGUAGUGUAAAGACUGUAAUGUGGACUGACUCAGCACAUGAGUGAAGUGACAGUGUUGACCUGGGCAUCCAGCCGGGCUGGGGAUGAGACCGGUUAGAGCGUUCUGGUCAGGUGUCCACGCUGGGAUACUGAUCAGUUCACGGCAUGACAUAAGGCAGGGAAGCCCCCGUGCCUAGAAAACAAGACGAAAGCGCGGAGACAACUCUGGCAGGAGCAUUACAGGUAAUAGAAGAACCUCAGGCAGUCCUUGUGAGGGGCUCGAGAAGGAGAAGAGAGUAGGCACUCACACCACAUCACAGCAGAGGUGAAGGCAAAAGUGAUGAGUCAGAGAAAUACAGUGGAUAUUCACCAUAAGAACAAAUAAUGAGUCACACGUGGCCCCAAGGUUAAAGGGAAACAUUGCCCUUCAAAAGUGUAGCAUAAAUGAUGAUGCAAUAAAGAGAUGAGCAGCUCUCCCCUUGUCCUAUAUGGUCGUGUGUGUCCUGUCCCUGUGCUUUAAUAAAACCACCAUUUUGCACCAAAAAAAAUGAAAAAAAAAAAACAAUAAAUAAAAAAAAUAAAUAAAGGACUGACUACACCAUGCAAGCCUCAUGAACUUAUGCUGAUCUUUGUAUGAUCUGUGACUUGACUACAGCAUGCUUUCUUCUCCCUAAGACUUGGUCAAGCGUGCCGCGGUAGCCUGCGCCUGGGACCUGGAAGGCGGCCUGCUCUCAUUUGGCUCACUUGACAGUUUGUGCCAAUACAUUUUUUAAUUCUACUCUCCAGGUGGCAAGGCUGUUUUAUAACAAAUUGCUGGCUAAUUAGGGCAUAAAUGUUCUUUUCUUUGUUUCUCCCUGACCUUGCUCAUUCUCUGCUCGCAGAUGACAUGCCCUGGCCACCAGUUCCCGCUCCUGCUUUUACUCUUCCGCGAUCUGCUUACAUCACUCGUUACUGUCAGGACUCCAAUCUUCAUUUCCAACCUUCAUCUGUACUUCAACACGGAACAGACACAAUGCAUGAUGAGAAAACUCUAACAGUCUCAAAUGUGUCUCUGAACCUGAAGAGAUACAUUUCAGCCGGUGAAGAGGCUACUCAAGGAAAAGGAUUAAAUGUUAAUAUCCUAAAGUGCAGAAAGAGAGAAGACAGAGAGACACAGAGGGAAGACAGCCAUGUGAAGACCUGGGAAGAAAUUGGAGAAAUGUAGCUGCAAGCCAAUGACGACACACUGCCAGAUAGCCACCAGCAAGAAGGUAGGAGGAGGUAAGGAAAGAUUCUUCUCUAAAGCCUUCAGAAGCAGUCUGGCUCUGAUGACACCUUGAUUUCAGACUUCUACCCUCCACAACUAUGUGAAUAAAGUUUUGUGAUUUUUAAGCCACCCAAUACUUUGUUUUAAUGACCCUAGGAGAGUACAACCAUAUUUUCCGGCUACCUUUGCCACUGGGUGCAGCCAUGUAACUUAGUUCAAGCCUGCAGACAAGAUGAAAGUGUUUGCCACUUUCAGGUCUAGCUAAGACAACCCUCCCAUGAGCGAUCUCUCUUUACCCAUCUAGUGGCUAAAUAGAGAGGAAUACAUAAUCUAGAAGGUGGAAGAGCAACAGGUAGGAAAACAGCCCGAGUCCCUGAGUCACUGUGUGGAGCAGAGUUUCACUUCUUCUUAUUCCCUCCUCACUGACCCUCAGUAGACCAGAAUAACUUUUUCUCAUCAGUAUUUCAUCACUGAGAUUAUGGUGUUGUUUGUUACAACAGUUAGCCUAUGGUAACUAACCAGAUCUACUUAUGUUUUCCAGGGAUUCUGGAGCUAUACUCCUAUUUUUGGUCACCUGUUGUGUGAAUGAUACUCUCAGUGCAUCAAACCCUUUAGCCAUGGGAAAGGGAUCCAAUGUCCAGGAGCAAAGGAGCUACUCUGAUGAAAAAAAGAAUCAUAAGUAAUUAGAGGGGAAUCAAAAGAGAUGAAAAGAAAAAUAUUAUUGAUUAGGGGUGGAUAUGAGAAAGGGGAUACCUGAUGGG